AAGAGACUUAGUCCUAACCUUACGGUUGGUUUUUGCUAGAUAUAUACAUGCAAGUUUCCGCGAGCCAGUGUAGAUGCCCUUGGUACCUUACCAACAGUCGACAGGAGCGGGUAUCAGGCACACCCAUCUUUUCAACGGUAGCCCAAAACGCCUAGCACUUGCCACGCCCCCACGGGUUCUCAGCAGUAGUUAACAUUAAGCAAUGAGUGAAAACUUGACUUAGUCAUAGCAAAUCAGGGCUGGUAAAUCUUGUGCCAGCCACCGCGGUCAUACAAGAAGCCCAAAUUAACCUUACUAACGGCGUAAAGGGUGGUCACAUGCUAUCUAUACGGAACUAAGAUUAAAAGGUAACUAAGCUGUCAUAAGCCCAAGAUGCCCCUAAGGCCACUGCCCUUGAAGAAAAUCUUAGCCUAACGAUCAAUUGAAAUCCACGAAAGCCAGGACCCAAACUGGGAUUAGAUACCCCACUAUGCCUGGCCCUAAAUCUUGAUGCUCUAUCCUACCUGAGCAUCCGCCCGAGAACUACGAGCGCAAACGCUUAAAACUCUAAGGACUUGGCGGUGUCCCAAACCCACCUAGAGGAGCCUGUUCUGUAAUCGAUGAUCCACGAUACACCCGACCAUUUCUUGCCAAAACAGCCUAUAUACCGCCGUCGCCAGCCCACCCACCCUGAAGGCCCAACAGUGAGCGCAAUAGCCUAACCCGCUAACACGACAGGUCAAGGUAUAGCCUAUGGAAUGGAAGCAAUGGGCUACAUUUUCUAACGUAGAAAACUACGAAUAAGGGGCAUGAAACUGCCCCCCAAAGGCGGAUUUAGCAGUAAAGUGGGACCAUCAAGCCCUCUUAAAGCCGGCCCUGGGACACGUACAUACCGCCCGUCACCCUCCUCACAAGCGACCAACCCACCCCAUACAUUAAUAAGUUUUCCAGCCAAAGAGGAGGUAAGUCGUAACAAGGUAAGUGUACCGGAAGGUGCACUUAGAACACC
This 988-nucleotide non-coding RNA is filed under the name Climacteris rufus (rufous treecreeper). RNAcentral describes it as "12S ribosomal RNA". It matches the Rfam family "Bacterial small subunit ribosomal RNA". The record is from RNAcentral. Lineage: Eukaryota; Metazoa; Chordata; Aves; Passeriformes; Climacteridae.